AACGAACGCUGGCGGUAUGCUAACACAUGCAAGUCGAACGAACAAAAUUGGAGCUUGCUCCAAUUUUAGUGAGUGGCAAACGGGUGAGUAACACGUGGGAAUCUACCUAUCAGUACGGAAUAACAUUUGGAAACAGAUGCUAAUACCGUAUAUUCUCUAAAGAGGAAAGAUUUAUCGCUGAUAGAUGAGCCCGCGUAAGAUGAGGUAGUUGGUAGGGUAAUAGCCUACCAAGCCGACGAUCUUUAGCUGGUCUGAGAGGAUGACCAGCCACACGGGGGCUGAGACACGGCCCAGACUCCUACGGGAGGCAGCAGUGGGGAAUAUUGGACAAUGGGCGAAAGCCUGAUCCAGCAAUACCGCGUGAAUGAUGAAGGCCUUAGGGUUGUAAAAUUCUUUUAGUUGGAAAGAUAAUGACGGUACCAACAGAAAAAGCCCCGGCUAACUCCGUGCCAGCCGCCGCGGUAA
RNAcentral lists this ribosomal RNA (465 nucleotides) under uncultured bacterium. RNAcentral describes it as "partial 16S ribosomal RNA". It matches the Rfam family "Bacterial small subunit ribosomal RNA", at positions 29 to 523 of the family's 1533-position model. The record is from RNAcentral.